Molecule: ribosomal RNA, 277 nt
Filed under: uncultured bacterium
Lineage: Bacteria
Description: partial 16S ribosomal RNA
Rfam family: Bacterial small subunit ribosomal RNA
Source: RNAcentral
AACGAACGCUGGCGGCAGGCCUAACACAUGCAAGUCGAACGCUGCAGCAAUGCAGAGUGGCAGACGGGUGAGUAACGCGUGGGAACCUUCCCAGUGGUACGGAAUAGCUCAGGGAAACUUGAGGUAAUACCGUAUAAGCCCCUAGGGGGAAAGAUUUAUCGCCAUUGGAUGGGCCCGCGUCGGAUUAGCUAGUUGGUGAGGUAACGGCUCACCAAGGCGACGAUCCGUAGCUGGUCUGAGAGGAUGAUCAGCCACACUGGGACUGAGACACGGCCCA